RNAcentral lists this transfer RNA (66 nucleotides) under Sinomiopteryx guangxiensis. Its description in RNAcentral is "tRNA-Ile". The record is from RNAcentral. Lineage: Eukaryota; Metazoa; Arthropoda; Insecta; Mantodea; Thespidae.
AGUAAAAUGCCCGAAAAUAAGGUUUAUCGUGAUAGGGUAAAAAAUGUAAUUUUAUUACUUUUACUA